AGAAUCAACGCUGGCGGCGUGCCUAACACAUGCAAGUCGAACGAGAAAGUGGAGCAAUCCAUGAGUAAAGUGGCGACCGGGUGAGUAACACGUGACUAACCUACCUUCGAGUGGGGGAUAACCUCGGGAAACCGAGGCUAAUACCGCAUAACAUCGCAAGAUCAAAGCAGCAAUGCGCUGGAAGAGGGGGUCGCGGCUGAUUAGCUAGUUGGCGGGGUAAUGGCCCACCAAGGCGAAGAUCGGUAGCCGGCCUGAGAGGGCGCACGGCCACACUGGAACUGAAACACGGUCCAGACUCCUACGGGAGGCAGCAGUGGGGAAUUUUGCGCAAUGGGGGAAACCCUGACGCAGCAACGCCGCGUGGAGGAUGAAGCCCCUUGGGGUGUAAACUCCUUUCGACCAAGACGAUAAUGACGAUACUGGUGGAAGAAGCACCGGCUAACUCUGUGCCAGCAGCCGC
Molecule: ribosomal RNA, 460 nt
Filed under: uncultured bacterium
Lineage: Bacteria
Description: SSU rRNA
Rfam family: Bacterial small subunit ribosomal RNA
Source: RNAcentral